This 477-nucleotide ribosomal RNA is filed under the name Bacillus sp. (in: firmicutes). Its description in RNAcentral is "bacterial SSU rRNA". It matches the Rfam family "Bacterial small subunit ribosomal RNA", at positions 421 to 889 of the family's 1533-position model. Lineage: Bacteria; Bacillati; Bacillota; Bacilli; Caryophanales; Bacillaceae. The record is from RNAcentral.
UUUAUUCAAACUCUGUUGUUAGUCAAGAACAAGUCGUGACUCAAACAUGAGACCCUUGACGGUACCUAACCUGAAAGCCACGGCUCACUUCUUGCCAGCAGCCGCGGUAAUACGCAGGUGGCAAGCGUUAUCCUGAAUUAUUGGGCGUAAAGCGCGCGCAGGCGGUUUCUUAAGUCUGAUGUGAAAGCCCACGGCUCAACCGUGGAGGGUCAUUGGAAACUGGGGAACUUGAGUGCAGAAGAGAAAAGCGGAAUUCCACGUGUAGCGGUGAAAUGCGUAGAGAUGUGGAGGAACACCAGUGGCGAAGGCGGCUUUUUGGUCUGUAACUGACGCUGAGGCGCGAAAGCGUGGGGAGCAAACAGGAUUAGAUACCCUGGUAGUCCACGCCGUAAACGAUGAGUGCUACAGUGUUACGCAGGGUUUCCCCCCUUUAGUGCUGCAGCUAACGCAUAAGCACUCCGCCUGGAGAACGCCCAU